RNAcentral lists this long non-coding RNA (721 nucleotides) under Salvator merianae (Argentine black and white tegu). Its description in RNAcentral is "lncRNA (ENSSMRG00000020953.1)". Lineage: Eukaryota; Metazoa; Chordata; Lepidosauria; Squamata; Teiidae. The record is from RNAcentral.
CCAUGAGUAAUUGCUCUCAUUCCUGGCUUGUUCUUCAGGACAUAAACUUGCGAGUCUCCAGAACCUAGACCUUGCCCACAUUAGGUCUGUCUGCAAAACUUUGUCGCUUGCAGGGAUUGCACCAGCAUGUAGAGGAUUGUCAGAGCUUCUUCCAGUGGCAGAGAAGUAAGCAGAGGCUGAGACACACAUGGAAGCAUGAAGAGGCAUAGGGUUGCAGAAGUUGCUGGAAUUGGGGACUGUUGCAAGACUUUGCUCUAUAGAGAGAUCCCUGCUCCUGGGCAGCUCACUAUGGAAACAACAGGACUUCGGAGGGCAAUAAAACUUUUACUGCUGCUAUGCUGCCCGUGUGAGAAAACCACCUUAUGCCCUAUGGAAGAAACCAGUACACUAAAUGUGAAUGGAUGGAUGAAACACAAUCCCAUAGAUAACAAAUAUCCUGUUUCUAUGCUUGGAAGGAUUUAUUGUACAACAAUGCUGCCAGAAUGUAAUAUGGUGAUUUUCUGUGUAUUCAUGCUCACCUACAUUUCAGAAGACAUGAAACGGUUAUGGGAUUUGUGUGUUAAUGCUGUCUUUUCCUUCCAUAAUCAGUCUUUUUUCUACCUCACAUUUUCCAUGUCUGUUGCAGCAUACAAAUUUUAUUUAUUUCUAAACAUUUCUAUCCUGUCCUUCACAAAAAGCUCUCCAGGUGGAUCACAGCAUUCAGUAAAAUACAGUAUAAAAC